UAGGGAAUCUUCCGCAAUGGACGAAAGUCUGACGGAGCAACGCCGCGUGAGUGAAGAAGGAUUUCGGUUCGUAAAACUCUGUUGUUAGGGAAGAAAAAAUGUAUAGUAACUAUAUAGAAAAGAGACGGUACCUAACCAGAAAGCCACGGCUAACUACGUGCCAGCAGCCGCGGUAAUACGUAGGUGGCAAGCGUUGUCCGGAAUUAUUGGGCGUAAAGCGCGCGCAGGUGGUUUAGAAAGUCUGAUGUGAAAGCCCACGGCUCAACCGUGGAGGGUCAUUGGAAACUAAUAAACUUGAGUGCAGGAGAGAAAAGUGGAAUUCCUAGUGUAGCGGUGAAAUGCGUAGAGAUUAGGAGGAACACCGGUGGCGAAAGCGGCUUUUUGGCCUGCAACUGACACUGAGGCGCGAAAGCGUGGGGAGCAAACAGG
RNAcentral lists this ribosomal RNA (429 nucleotides) under Verrucomicrobiota bacterium. RNAcentral describes it as "Verrucomicrobia bacterium partial 16S ribosomal RNA". It matches the Rfam family "Bacterial small subunit ribosomal RNA", at positions 355 to 776 of the family's 1533-position model. The record is from RNAcentral. Lineage: Bacteria; Pseudomonadati; Verrucomicrobiota.